This 852-nucleotide long non-coding RNA is filed under the name Homo sapiens (human). RNAcentral's name for it is "long non-coding RNA NONHSAT192116.1". The record is from RNAcentral. Lineage: Eukaryota; Metazoa; Chordata; Mammalia; Primates; Hominidae.
GCAGCAUCGGGGGUGCCGCAGCCAUGGCCUGGACCGCUCUCCUUCUGAGCCUCCUUGCUCACUUUACAGGUUCUGUGGCCUCCUAUGAGCUGACUCAGCCACUCUCAGUGUCAGUGGCCCUGGGACAGACGGCCAGGAUUACCUGUGGGGGAAACAACAUUGGAAGUAAAAAUGUGCACUGGUACCAGCAGAAGCCAGGCCAGGCCCCUGUGCUGGUCAUCUAUAGGGAUAGCAACCGGCCCUCUGGGAUCCCUGAGCGAUUCUCUGGCUCCAACUCGGGGAACACGGCCACCCUGACCAUCAGCAGAGCCCAAGCCGGGGAUGAGGCUGACUAUUACUGUCAGGUGUGGGACAGCAUGUUGGGUGUUCGGCGGAGGGACCAAGCUGACCGUCCUAGGUCAGCCCAAGGCUGCCCCCUCGGUCACUCUGUUCCCACCCUCCUCUGAGGAGCUUCAAGCCAACAAGGCCACACUGGUGUGUCUCAUAAGUGACUUCUACCCGGGAGCCGUGACAGUGGCCUGGAAGGCAGAUAGCAGCCCCGUCAAGGCGGGAGUGGAGACCACCACACCCUCCAAACAAAGCAACAACAAGUACGCGGCCAGCAGCUACCUGAGCCUGACGCCUGAGCAGUGGAAGUCCCACAAAAGCUACAGCUGCCAGGUCACGCAUGAAGGGAGCACCGUGGAGAAGACAGUGGCCCCUACAGAAUGUUCAUAGGUUCUCAUCCCUCACCCCCCACCACGGGAGACUAGAGCUGCAGGAUCCCAGGGGAGGGGUCUCUCCUCCCACCCCAAGGCAUCAAGCCCUUCUCCCUGCACUCAAUAAACCCUCAAUAAAUAUUCUCAUUGUCAA